This 252-nucleotide ribosomal RNA is filed under the name uncultured bacterium. RNAcentral's name for it is "partial 16S ribosomal RNA". It matches the Rfam family "Bacterial small subunit ribosomal RNA", at positions 525 to 776 of the family's 1533-position model. The record is from RNAcentral.
ACGAAGGGGGCUAGCGUUGUUCGGAAUUACUGGGCGUAAAGCGCACGUAGGCGGAUUAUUAAGUCAGAUGUGAAAUCCCAAGGCUCAACCUUGGAACUGCAUUUGAAACUGGUAGUCUAGAGAUCAGGAGAGGUUAGUGGAAUACCGAGUGUAGAGGUGAAAUUCGUAGAUAUUCGGUGGAACACCAGUGGCGAAGGCGACUAACUGGACUGAUACUGACGCUGAGGUGCGAAAGUGUGGGGAGCAAACAGG